This 403-nucleotide ribosomal RNA is filed under the name uncultured bacterium. RNAcentral describes it as "partial 16S ribosomal RNA". It matches the Rfam family "Bacterial small subunit ribosomal RNA", at positions 28 to 526 of the family's 1533-position model. The record is from RNAcentral.
GACGAACGCUGGCGGCGUGCCUAAUACAUGCAAGUCGAACGCAGGGGGGACGGGUGGGUAACACGUGGGUAACCUCCCAUCAGAGGGGAUAACACUUGGCAACAGGUGCUAAACCGAUACUGAUGUAUGGACCCGGUGUGCAUGAGCUAGUGGGUGGGGUAACGGCUCACCUAGGCCACGAUGCAUAGCCGACCUGAGAGGGUGACCGGCCACACUGGGACUGAGACACGGCCCAGACUCCUACGGGAGGCAGCAGUAGGGAAUCUUCGGCAAUGGACGAAAGUCUGACCGAGCAACGCCGCGUGAGUGAAGAAGGUUUUCGGAUUGUAAAGCUCUGUUGUUGAGGAAGCGGUAUCUAACCAGAAAGCAACGGCUAACUACGUGCCAGCAGCCGCGGUAAUAC